Molecule: long non-coding RNA, 708 nt
Filed under: Mytilus galloprovincialis (Mediterranean mussel)
Lineage: Eukaryota; Metazoa; Mollusca; Bivalvia; Mytilida; Mytilidae
Source: RNAcentral
GCGGCUAUAUCGGCGGUUGGUCUGUUAAUCGGGUUGGCUAAAGUCUGUUAAUCAGGUGUUAUCGAGAAAAUCAUUGAAAGUUCAGCAUGUUUCAUUGUAUAACUUUUUAAAUAUAUUUUCAUCAUAAAAAGUAUUCAUGUCUAACAAAACAAUUCAAUGUACUGAAUUCAGUGGUGUAGUUAUUAUUUUUCUAGCUUCGAUGUACGAUCUAUAAAAUGAAAAGGCGGGUUACUCAUCAAUAAAUUUAUACACAUUUUACACACAUAAAAUGUACACACAAAAUGACACAUUUGUUAAAUUUACUUGCAUUCAAUAUUUUGAACAUCGAAAAAAGAAAGGCAUUAUGUUUGUUAACCAUAUUGAUAUCAUUGUGUGAAAAAUCCACACGAAAAGCUGUAUUUUGGUGACAUAAAUCAAUCUUUAUUUAAAACCUGGUCUGUUAAUGGGUCGGAUGUAUAAAACCCGGUCUGUUAAAUGGUCUGUUAAGAGUUAUGAAUGGCAAUAAAAGUAUAAUUUUAUUGCUGUAUGGGGUGUUAUCGGAUCAAAUGAGUAGGCUCAGGACGAGUGGCUUAAAUAUACGAAAACAACACAUGAAAUUGAAAAUUGAUAAAAAUGGUUUCAAAAAGUGUAAUAUUAAAGUAAUAUUAAUUUCAUCCAAGAAUGAUCGCAUAUAUCAUGUUGAUUCUGUUUAAUUGUCAUGAAUGACAA